CUAACAAGCGCCACUUCCAAAUUAUUUAGGUAUUUGAGAAAUAAAUGGAUAAAACGUACAACUAUCACUUUAUAAUGUUUCUGAAGUGUUUCCCUGAUGGAUUACUUCUCUCCUCGAUGGAUUCUAAAAACACGUGAUGGCUCGUAACUGCUGAACGUCGCUCUGGACUGAAAGAGGCUUUUUCUGUUCAUAUUUGAUAACAGAGAUAGACAUGGAGGGAUGGGGGAAGGGGAUGACAUGCGUUCAUGCAGUGCCACGAGUCAAAAUUAAACCUGUGCCGCUGCUGAGGAGUCAGUACACUCUACCAGGCAAGCUACUGGAGCUCCCCUGAAGGACACUGUUGACACAGCUGGGCUGAGUAACAAAAACCAAGUUACUAUAAGUUUUGCUUAUCGAGGGAUUUUUCUUACAACCUGGCUGAUUGUCGGACUGCUUGUGGUUUCUGCUCGGUUGGGCUUCUUUUUAUCAACAUGGCUGUGUUCCCAGAUCCCAGCUAUUAACUUGGCCAAGGUCUCCCAGAUAUGUUGCAGCCUUAAGGCUAAGUUGCACCUCCAGAAAGGCUGAAGAGUGAUGCCGGCCUAGUGUAUGGCAGCAGUCUGAAGUCAGCCAUCACGUAAUGGUUACAUGUGACAAUGAAGGACAG
Molecule: long non-coding RNA, 643 nt
Organism: Epinephelus fuscoguttatus (brown-marbled grouper)
Lineage: Eukaryota; Metazoa; Chordata; Actinopteri; Perciformes; Serranidae
Exons: 4
Source: RefSeq, a predicted model, not a curated record